UGUAGGAAUCUGGAAUCCAUUGCACUUCAAAGACAUCAGGUAUAUGAUAUGAUGGCUUUGGAGAUCAAUAUUUAUAAUUGGCCUAAUUUUGUAUCUUUUCCAAAAGAAGGAUUGUGUGCCUCUAAUCUUACAUGGUUUCGGGUCAUCAACUGUGGGGGUUUGAGGUCACUGCCUGACAAUAUGCAUGUACUGCUUCGAUCUCUUCAGUAUUUAUAUAUUGAACAAUGUCCGGAAGUCAUGUCAUUACCUGAAGGGGGCUUUCCUCCCAGUCUGAAUUUGAUUAGCAUCUGCCGUUGUGACAAACUAUUUGCCAAUCGGAUACAUUGGGGUUUGCAGAAACUCUCUUCAGUUAGAACUAUGAUAAUUGCUGACGAAUCUGAAGAUGUGGAGUCCUUUCCAGAGGCGGGGUUGCUGCCCGGCAGUCUGACCUCUCUCCGCAUCUGCGGUUUUCCCAAAAUGAAAUAUUUGGACAAGAAGGGGAUUCAACACCUCACCUCUCUUGAAGAAUUACAGAUUGAUGACUGCCCUAAGCUCAAGUGCAUGCCAGAAGGGGGCCUGCCUGCCUCCCUUUCAAUUCUGCAGAUAAAAAACUGUGCUUUGUUGAAGAAACAAUGGCAAAGGAAAAAAGGAAAAGAAUGGCUCAAGAUUGCUCAAGCCCCUAGCAAAUUGAUUGAUUUCGGAUGAGCUGAAAAGUCUAGCAAGAGUUCCCCCACUCUGUUAUAAUAUCAGCUUUUGGACUCAGGCAUCUUUUGGCUUUGGUGUCAACCUCCUCUGCUGCAGGUGUUCAGCUGGUCAUUUGGAGGUUUGUGGGUGCAACUUAAUUCCUGAUUGAAGACGGUUUGGUCAGUCAAUUUAAUAGGCAAAUUUGACUGAGGAUACACCUUUGUCAAGCUCUCGUAAUGACAUUCUAUUGGGGAUACUACCCUUGGCUCAGAACAAUUGCAACAAGAACUAGAUGAUUGAAGGGAGUGCUGACCCAGCAUUUGAUGAGGGGAUUACAGAAGCAUCAAAUGAACAUCACCAAAUACAAUACACUAAAGUUGAUGUUUUCUGCCUUAGAAACAGCACCGUGUAAGUGUUCCUAGCAGUCUGUAUGGAGGAAAUUAUCAACAUUCCUAUAGGUCUCCUUAUGGAGGAUGAUAUGGCAGUCCUGCCCCAUAUCAAUCCCCAAAGACAUCCCUUC
Molecule: long non-coding RNA, 1183 nt
Organism: Juglans microcarpa x Juglans regia
Lineage: Eukaryota; Viridiplantae; Streptophyta; Magnoliopsida; Fagales; Juglandaceae
Exons: 4
Source: RefSeq, a predicted model, not a curated record